Molecule: ribosomal RNA, 496 nt
Filed under: uncultured bacterium
Lineage: Bacteria
Description: partial 16S ribosomal RNA
Rfam family: Bacterial small subunit ribosomal RNA
Source: RNAcentral
GAUGAACGCUGGCGGCGUGCCUAAUACAUGCAAGUCGAGCGAACAGACGAGGAGCUUGCUCCUAUGACGUUAGCGGCGGACGGGUGAGUAACACGUGGAUAACCUACCUAUAAGACUGGGAUAACUUCGGGAAACCGGAGCUAAUACCGGAUAAUAUAUUGAACCGCAUGGUUCAAUAGUGAAAGACGGUUUUGCUGUCACUUAUAGAUGGAUCCGCGCCGCAUUAGCUAGUUGGUAAGGUAACGGCUUACCAAGGCAACGAUGCGUAGCCGACCUGAGAGGGUGAUCGGCCACACUGGAACUGAGACACGGUCCAGACUCCUACGGGAGGCAGCAGUAGGGAAUCUUCCGCAAUGGGCGAAAGCCUGACGGAGCAACGCCGCGUGAGUGAUGAAGGUCUUCGGAUCGUAAAACUCUGUUAUUAGGGAAGAACAAAUGUGUAAGUAACUAUGCACGUCUUGACGGUACCUAAUCAGAAAGCCACGGCUAACUACGU